RNAcentral lists this ribosomal RNA (660 nucleotides) under Bacillus sp. JSM 081049. Its description in RNAcentral is "bacterial SSU rRNA". It matches the Rfam family "Bacterial small subunit ribosomal RNA", at positions 43 to 686 of the family's 1533-position model. Lineage: Bacteria; Bacillati; Bacillota; Bacilli; Caryophanales; Bacillaceae. The record is from RNAcentral.
CGGGUCUAUCAUGCAAGUCGAGCGAACUGAUUAGAAGCUUGCUUCUAUGACGUUAGCGGCGGACGGGUGAGUAACACGUGGGCAACCUGCCUGUAAGACUGGGAUAACUUCGGGAAACCGAAGCUAAUACCGGAUAGGAUCUUCUCCUUCAUGGGAGAUGAUUGAAAGAUGGUUUCGGCUAUCACUUACAGAUGGGCCCGCGGUGCAUUAGCUAGUUGGUGAGGUAACGGCUCACCAAGGCAACGAUGCAUAGCCGACCUGAGAGGGUGAUCGGCCACACUGGGACUGAGACACGGCCCAGACUCCUACGGGAGGCAGCAGUAGGGAAUCUUCCGCAAUGGACGAAAGUCUGACGGAGCAACGCCGCGUGAGUGAUGAAGGCUUUCGGGUCGUAAAACUCUGUUGUUAGGGAAGAACAAGUACAAGAGUAACUGCUUGUACCUUGACGGUACCUAACCAGAAAGCCACGGCUAACUACGUGCCAGCAGCCGCGGUAAUACGUAGGUGGCAAGCGUUAUCCGGAAUUAUUGGGCGUAAAGCGCGCGCAGGCGGUUUCUUAAGUCUGAUGUGAAAGCCCACGGCUCAACCGUGGAGGGUCAUUGGAAACUGGGGAACUUGAGUGCAGAAGAGAAAAGCGGAAUUCCACGUGUAGCGGUGAAA